AUGGCGCCGAAGAGGGAGCUGGUCUUGGGCAGCGCCCGGGGCUCGGAGUCGGCGAAGCGCCUGCGCGUGGGGGUCCCUGGAGCUGCCUCCGCCGGCGGCAGCGAGAGCGAGCGGCCGGUGCCGGGAAAGCGGCUGCUGCGGCAGACAGUGUUCGUCGUGCUCUUUCUUGUGCGAAUGAGCGAAAAGAUCACGGUGACGGAAAGUAUGUCGCAGAUUGGUCGCAUGGUUCAGAAACUUCACAAGGUUCAGACUCUUAUCAUGAGCAAAUUGGAAAGUUUACAGCAGCAGAUGGAGGAUAUAAGCCAUGAAGUGAAGAAAUUGGCUUGUUUGCAUUCCGACCGACAUGCUGAUCAACACCCAAGAUCAGAACCAUAUCAGGAGGGUGCCACUUUGAGUGAACCGAACGCCAAGAUUCGCCUGCGUUUCCUGGAUGGCCUGAAGACUCCAGUUUACACAGAUAAGAACAUAACAUCUGAAAGCGAUGCGGCUAUCAGGAUUGGCAUCUUUAAUGGUGAUAACAUGAUCAAGGAAGGCCUGCUUUCAAAGCUGAAAAUUGAGAUCCUGGUUCUCCAUGGAGACUUCUGCAACGACUGCCGGGGAAACUGGACCGGAGAGGAGUUCAAUAGCCAGAUCGUGCAAGGCCGGGACGGACACAGGUUUGUGUUAGGGGGUGAUUGCAGUGUGUGGUUGAACAAUGGAGAGGCCUCCUUGGGCAGGAUUCGUUUCAAAGAAGGAUCAUCCAGGACUCGCAGUAGGAAGUUCGUCGUGGGAGCAAGAGUUUGUAUGAGCGAAAAGACUGGUGUUCGAGUCCAAGAAGCUGUCAUGAAGCCGGUCACGGUGCUGGAUCGUAGGAACGAAGCAAAUGAGAAGAGGUACCCUCCAAAACCAAAUGAUGAAGUGUAUCGUCUGGAAGAAAUAGCCAACGAUGGUACUUACCACAGGAGGCUUAAAAAUGCUAAAAUCUACAGUGGAAGACUUCUUGAAUGCUCUGAAUAA
Molecule: ribosomal RNA, 996 nt
Filed under: Triticum aestivum (bread wheat)
Lineage: Eukaryota; Viridiplantae; Streptophyta; Magnoliopsida; Poales; Poaceae
Description: partial small subunit ribosomal RNA
Source: RNAcentral